UGCCAGCCGCCGCGGUAAAACCAGCACCUCAAGUGGUCAGGAUGAUUAUUGGGCCUAAAGCAUCCGUAGCCGGCGCUAUAAGUUUUCGGUUAAAUCUGUACGCUCAACGUACAGGCUGCCGGGAAUACUGUAGCGCUAGGGAGUGGGAGAGGUAGACGGUACUCGGUAGGAAGGGGUAAAAUCCUUUGAUCUAUUGAUGACCACCUGUGGCGAAGGCGGUCUACCAGAACACGUCCGACGGUGAGGGACGAAGGCGUGGGUAGCGAACGGGAUUAGAUA
This 279-nucleotide ribosomal RNA is filed under the name uncultured bacterium. RNAcentral describes it as "partial 16S ribosomal RNA". It matches the Rfam family "Archaeal small subunit ribosomal RNA", at positions 456 to 735 of the family's 1478-position model. The record is from RNAcentral.